GGUUUGAUUAUGGCUCAGAUUGAACGCUGGCGGGAUGCUUACAUGCAAGCCGAACGGCAGUGCAUAUUUCGGUCUAUGGCGAGUGCGGCGAACGGUGAGCAAUGCACGGAAUCAAAGCCGGUGAAGUGGGGACAACUACGCGAAAGGGGAAGUAUUACCGCAUACGCCCUUCGGGAAAGCGGGGACCUUCGGGCUCUCGUAGACCUAUUAGGAGCGGCCGAUAUCGGAUUAGCUAGUUGGUGGGGUAACGGCUCACUACAGACGAUCCGUAGCUGGUUUGAGAGGAUGACCAGCCACACUGACUGAGACACGGCCCAGAUCUACGGGAGGCAGCAGUGGGGAAUUUUGGACAAUGGGGAAACCCCGAUCCAGCCAUCCCGCGUGCGCGAUGAAGGCCUGGUUGUGUAAGCACUUGGCAGGAGAAACGGCACGGAUAAUACUUGCGUAACUGACGGUACUCGCAGAAUGGGGCACCGGCUAAUCUGCUGUGCCAGCAGAGCGUGGUAAUACUGUAGGUGUAAGCGUUGACCGGAAUUACUGGGCGUAAAGCGCGCAGGCGGUUCGGAAAGAAAGAUGUGAAAUCCCAGAGCUUAACUUUGGAACUGCAUUUUUAACUACCGAGCCAGAGUGUGUCAGAGGAGGUGAAUUCCGCGUGUAGCAGUGGAAUGGGCGUAGAUAUGCGGAGGAACACGAUGGCGUAUGGGUGGUUUUCCUGGGAUAACACCGACGUUUGCGGCACGAAAGCGGGGAGCAACAGGAUAGAUACCUCCUGGUAGUCCACGCCCAACGAUGUCAACUAGUUGCUGGGGCCUUCGGGCCUUUGGCAGCGCAGCUUAACGGGCAGUGAAGUUGACCGCCUGGGGAGUACGGUCGCAAGAUUAAAACUCAAAGGAAUUGACGGGGACUCCGCACAAGCGGUGGAUGAUGUGGAUUAAUUCGAUGCAACGCGAAAAACCUUACCUACUCCUGACAUGUCUGGAAUCCUGAAGAGAUUGGGAGUGCUCGCAAGAGAACCGGAACACAGGUGCUGCAUGGCUGUCGUCAGCUCGUGUCGUGAGAUGUUGGGUUAAGUCCCGCAACGAGCGCAACCCUUGUCAUUAGUUGCUACGAAAGGGCACUCUUAACAGAUCAAGCGGUGACAACCGGAGGAAGGUGGGGACAGGACGUCAAGUCCUCAUGGCCCUUAUGGGUAGGCUUCACGUCAUACAAUGGUCGGGGAUAGAGGGUCGCCAACCUGCGAGGGGGAGCGAUCCAGAAACCCGAUCAGUCCGAUCGCAGUCCGGGUAAAACUCGACUGCGUGAAGUCGGAAUCGCUAGUAACGCGUGAUCAGCAUGUCGCGGUGAAUACGUUCCCGGUCUUGUACACACCGCCCGUCACACCAUGGGAGUGGGUUUUAACAGAAGUAGUUAGCCUAACCGUGUAAGUGAGGGCGAUUACCACGGUAGGAUUCAUGACUGGGGUGAAGUCGUAACAAGGUAG
Molecule: ribosomal RNA, 1480 nt
Filed under: uncultured Bordetella sp.
Lineage: Bacteria; Pseudomonadati; Pseudomonadota; Betaproteobacteria; Burkholderiales; Alcaligenaceae
Description: partial 16S-23S ribosomal RNA intergenic spacer
Rfam family: Bacterial small subunit ribosomal RNA
Source: RNAcentral